RNAcentral lists this ribosomal RNA (123 nucleotides) under Sinocyclocheilus anshuiensis. The record is from RNAcentral. Lineage: Eukaryota; Metazoa; Chordata; Actinopteri; Cypriniformes; Cyprinidae.
UUAAAAAGCCCACUCUUUGUGGCAGUCCCCGCUUACAUCCUCGUCUGAUCUCGGAAACUAAGCAGGGUCGGGCCUGGUUAGUACUUGGCUGGGAGACCUCCUGGGAAUGCCUGGUGCUGUAAG